GUCGCUUUUGCUUUUCGGAAGUUAGAGCUAUGUCGGCACUGCCGUUUCAGGGCGGGGUCAUUUUCAGGACUUUCGUCCAGGAUUCAGGUUUCGGCACAUAUGCCAUGCCGACCGCCAUGGUCAAUUUACCCUAAAACAGUUGAGAUUACCUGUGGUAAAUGAAACGCAUACAAACUCAUAUACAGGUCCUAGACUAAAUAUUAUGGUCUCAGAUCUUGCCAUGCAGGCCUAGAAAACAAAUUUUGUUAAACUUUUUCAUUAGCCUUUCCGGGCGUUUCCACCAAG
Paramuricea clavata is the source of this 285-nucleotide non-coding RNA. Lineage: Eukaryota; Metazoa; Cnidaria; Anthozoa; Malacalcyonacea; Plexauridae. The record is from the annotation of a GenBank genome assembly.